This 405-nucleotide ribosomal RNA is filed under the name uncultured Elusimicrobium sp. Its description in RNAcentral is "partial 16S ribosomal RNA". It matches the Rfam family "Bacterial small subunit ribosomal RNA", at positions 355 to 774 of the family's 1533-position model. The record is from RNAcentral. Lineage: Bacteria; Pseudomonadati; Elusimicrobiota; Elusimicrobia; Elusimicrobiales; Elusimicrobiaceae.
UGGGGAAUUUUGGACAAUGGGGGCAACCCUGAUCCAGCAACGAUGCGUGGAGGACGAAGGUUUUCGGAUUGUAAACUCCUUUUGAGAGGGAAGAAAAAAAUGACGGUACCUCUCGAAUAAGCCACGGCUAACUACGUGCCAGCAGCCGCGGUAAGACGUAGGUGGCAAGCGUUACUCGGAAUUACUAGGCGUAAAGCGCGCGUAGGCGGGAUGUUAAGUCUGUUGUGUAAUCUCUGGGCUCAACCCAGAAACUGCAACGGAAACUGGCGUUCUUGAGUGAGGCAGAGGAAAUCGGAAUUCCAAGUGUAGCAGUGAAAUGCGUAGAUAUUUGGAGGAACACCGGUGGCGAAGGCGGAUUUCUGGGCCUUUACUGACGCUGAAGUGCGAAAGCUAGGGGAGCAAACG